UACGAACCGUCCAAACGUUACUCGGAAUCACUGGGCUUAAAGGGUGCGUAGGCUGCGCGGAGGGUGGGAUGUGAAAUCCCCCGGCUCAACCGGGGAAUAGCGUCCCAAACCGCCGUGCUCGAGGGAGACAGAGGUGAGCGGAACUGAUGGUGGAGCGGUGAAAUGCGUUGAUAUUAUCAGGAACACCAGUGGCGAAGGCGGCUCACUGGGUCUUUCCUAACGCUGAGGCACGAAAGCUAGGGGAGCGAACGGG
RNAcentral lists this ribosomal RNA (253 nucleotides) under uncultured bacterium. RNAcentral's name for it is "partial 16S ribosomal RNA". It matches the Rfam family "Bacterial small subunit ribosomal RNA", at positions 524 to 776 of the family's 1533-position model. The record is from RNAcentral.